RNAcentral lists this transfer RNA (65 nucleotides) under Tegra novaehollandiae viridinotata. RNAcentral describes it as "tRNA-Arg". The record is from RNAcentral. Lineage: Eukaryota; Metazoa; Arthropoda; Insecta; Orthoptera; Tettigoniidae.
UAAUAAGAAGCAAUUCUGCAUUCAGUUUCGACCUGACCCUUGAUAAAAUACUUUAUCCUUAUUAA